CCCGGAGGCGAAGGACACGCGAGGCCACCACAAUGGCCAUGAACCGCCACUGCACUGGACCUCAGGACCUUGGGACCUGAAGGACGAAACGCCACCUCCGUGCCAAUGCCAAGAUGGAAGAGACAGAGGUAGAGGAGGAGGCAACGCGUCAAGGCCAGAGGGGGCGCGAGGAGAGGGCAGCAGAGUAAUGGCACAGGUCUGGUCUGGUCUGGAGUCCUAGA
Molecule: long non-coding RNA, 221 nt
Filed under: Setaria italica (foxtail millet)
Lineage: Eukaryota; Viridiplantae; Streptophyta; Magnoliopsida; Poales; Poaceae
Description: long non-coding RNA (SITA_LNC003364)
Source: RNAcentral